GAACAAGGGACGAGUAAGAAAGA
RNAcentral lists this non-coding RNA (23 nucleotides) under Cricetulus griseus (Chinese hamster). The record is from RNAcentral. Lineage: Eukaryota; Metazoa; Chordata; Mammalia; Rodentia; Cricetidae.